UACGUAGGGGGCGAGCGUUAUCCGGAUUCACUGGGUGUAAAGGGAGCGUAGACGGCCGAUCAAGUCUGGAGUGAAAGCCCGGGGCCCAACCCCGGGACUGCUCUGGAAACUGGUGGGCUAGAGUGCUGGAGAGGUAAGUGGAAUUCCUAGUGUAGCGGUGAAAUGCGUAGAUAUUAGGAGGAACACCAGUGGCGAAGGCGGCUUACUGGACAGUGACUGACGUUGAGGCUCGAAAGCGUGGGGAGCAA
RNAcentral lists this ribosomal RNA (248 nucleotides) under uncultured Lachnospiraceae bacterium. Its description in RNAcentral is "partial 16S ribosomal RNA". It matches the Rfam family "Bacterial small subunit ribosomal RNA", at positions 524 to 771 of the family's 1533-position model. The record is from RNAcentral. Lineage: Bacteria; Bacillati; Bacillota; Clostridia; Lachnospirales; Lachnospiraceae.